UGUUUUUAACAUUUCCUGUUGUCAUGCACUGUACAACUUUCAGUAGUAGAGGUUGGAAAUUUAAAAUGGAUAGCACUGCAGGUGAGGAACACUUGCACUCUCUUGGUCCCUUUUUGCUAAUAUGUAAUGUAAAUAAAUUCCUUACAUGUGGGUUUUUGUAACUGGUCCCUCUGUAGUAAUCAAGUCAAUUAUCAUUGCCUCUUUUUAAGUGCAGGAGAUUCUCAGUUGUCUGGUGUUUAAAAGCAGAGUCUGAAUAACUUGGGGUAAAGAUUUAAGCUAGUGUGAUGUAACUUACAUUGCUAUCUGGUUUCAAAACUACAUAUAUAUUACUCAUAACAUUACAAUUUGAACUUUAAAUGUCAAAUUUUUCUUAACUUAUGUAUUCACUACUUUAAUUGGAUUCAAUUUGUCUUAUAUUUUUGUGUUAACUUGUACAGUUUUCUUACUUUUCAAGUAUAAAUCUCUGUAUAUAUCUGUACAUACAAGGAUCAAACCUUCCUUUACGACCACUAGUAACAAUUCCUGUGUAAAUAAAACUCAUAAUAGAA
Non-coding RNA from Tinamus guttatus (white-throated tinamou), 548 nucleotides. The record is from RefSeq and is a predicted model, not a curated record. Lineage: Eukaryota; Metazoa; Chordata; Aves; Tinamiformes; Tinamidae.